UUUUUUUUUUUUUUAAUUAAAAUAGACCUAAUUAAAAUUUAUUUUAAUAAUUAAAUAAAUAAAUUUUAUUUAUUCACUCAUUAGAGACACUGAGAGAGAGAGAGAGAGAGAGAGAGAAGCAGAGGUACAGGCAGAGGGAGAAGCAGACUUCUUGCAGGGAGCCCAACGUGGGACUCGAUCCCAGAUCUCCAGGAUCACGCCCUGGGCUGAAGGCGGCACUAAACCUCUGAGCCUCCCGGGCUGCCCAUAAUAGACAUAAUAUUGUAGAAGUUUGGGGCAUCUGAGUGGCUCAGUUGGUUGAGUGUCUGACUCUUGAUUUUUGGCUCAGGUCAUGAUCAGGGUAGAUAUUCCAUGAGAUAGAGCCCCAUGUCAGGCUCUGGAGCUGAGCACAGAAUCUGCUCUCCCUCUGUUCCUCUCCUCACUUGCUGCUCAGGCACACAUAAAUAAAUAAAAAAAAUGUACAAGUUUAAAGUGUAUAUUGAUUUGAUACAUUUAUAUGUUGCAGUAUGAGAACCACAGUUUGAUACAUUUAUAUAUUACAAUAUGAUCACCACUAUGGUACUAUGGUAAUAGCUAAUACCUUCAUCCUGUUCCAUAAUUAUCUUUUUUUUUUUUUCUUUUAUGAUGAGGAUGUGGGAGGAUUCUUCUUUCUUCCUCCAUGGUUUUUUGAGUCUCAUUAAGGGGUUCCUUAGUUUUGAACAUACAUCCUUUGACCCAGCAGUUCUGCUUCUAUGUUAUGAAGAAAGGUGCAAAGAUUGAGCAGUAUUCUAUUUAUUAUGGCUGCAUUAUUUUAUAAUAGAAAAUUUGUUACAGAAAGUCCAACAAUAAACAAGUCAAUUUUGAGAUAGCCAUUUAGUGAAAUAGUAUGUAGCUGUUAGGAAUUAUUGCCAUGAAGAGAUGUUCAUUUUAAUUUGAAAAAGUGUGGAUGGCUAUGUAGCACGUACAUCUAAAUUACAAAUUAGUACGUGUAUAUAUAUAUAACUAAAAAGGCUGAAAUAAUAGCUGUUUAUAGUUGGUAAAAUGGUGGAUCAUUAUUGUUUGGUAGGAUGUAGUAUUCACUGAAGAAUAUUUUCAACAGCUUUAUUAACAUAUAAUGCAUAUCUCAAACAAUUCACUUAAGUGUAAAAUUCAGGGGCACCUGGGUAGCUCAGUCAGUUAAGAGCCUGCCUUUGGCUCAGGUCAUGAUCCCAUGGUCCUGGGAUUGAGAGCCCCGCAUCAGCUCCCUGCUCAGUGGGGAGAGCCUACUUCUCCCUGUCCCACUGCCACUCCCCUGGGGCUUGUGCUUGUGCAUGUGCUCUCUCUCUCUCUCAAAUAAUCUUUAUUUUUAAAAUAUUUUAUUUAUUUAUUCAUGAGAGACACAGAGACACAGGCAGAGGGAGAAGCAGGCUCCACGCAGGAGCCCACGUGGGACUAGAUCCUGGGUCUCCAGGCUCACACCCUGGGCUGAAGGUGGCGCUAAACUGCUCAGCCACCAGGGCUGCCCUCAAAUAAAAAAUCUUAAAAAAAAAAUAAUAAAGUACAAUAUAGUACAGCUUCAUAUAACCAGAGCAGUGCAGCCAUUUGCACAAUUGUAAAACCUUUUCAUUGUGCCAGAAAGAAACCCUGUACCCAUUUGCAGAUACUUGCCAUUUCUCCCCAGUUCUGUCUCCUCUUUUACCAUAGGCAGUCACUAACCGAUUUGCUUGUUCUGAGCAUUUCCUGUGAAUGGAACUGUAUAACAUGUGGUCUUUAAUGACUGGCUUUUCUCAUUUGGCAUGUUUUCAAGAUUAAUCUGAAUUGUAUCAUGUUAUAGUUCAUUACUUUUAUUGCCAAAUAUUCCAUUGUAUUAAUCUACCAUAUUUUAUUUAUCCAUUCAUCAAUGUAUAGACAUUUGGGUUGUUUUACUUUUGGCUGUUAUGGAUAAUACCAAGUUUUGUGUGUACCAGUUUUUGCAUGGACAUGUUUUUACUUCUGUAGGAGUGGAAUUCCUGGGUCAAGUGAUAACUUAAUGUUUAAUCCUUUCAGGAAUUGCCAGACUAUUAAAUCAGCCAUACAUCAUUUUAACAUUCCUACCAUCAAUAUAUGAGAAUUUUAAUUUGUCAGUAUCUUUGCUAAGACGUGUGAUUGUCUUUUUUAUUAUAGCUAUCUAGUGGUUAGUAUCUUGUGGUUUUGAUUUGCAUUUUGCUGAUGACUAAUGAUACUAUCUUUUCAUGUCUGAAUAUUUUUUAACCUGUACAUAAUGUGAACUAUUUAGAUUUAUAAAGGUUUUUCUCCCUUGGAAAGGCAUAUUUAAAUUUUGGUAUAUUGAUAAAGAUGCAGAUUUAAGAAUGACUUACAUAGUUGACCCCCUGAACUACAUGGGGGUUAAAGGCUUGUACAAUUAAUGUACAAUUAUUUAUGUACAAUUAAUUAGUACAUAUUUUGUAUGUUAUGUGUAUCUUGUGCUGUAUGCUUACAAUAAAACUAGAGAAAAUAAAAUUUAAGAAAUACA
Molecule: long non-coding RNA, 2470 nt
Filed under: Canis lupus familiaris (dog)
Lineage: Eukaryota; Metazoa; Chordata; Mammalia; Carnivora; Canidae
Description: lncRNA (ENSCAFG00845025272.1)
Source: RNAcentral